AAUUAUAUAGUUUAAUAUAAAACAUUAUAUUUUCAAUAUAAAACUAAUAUUUAUUAUUUAUAAUUA
RNAcentral lists this transfer RNA (66 nucleotides) under Ceratina okinawana. RNAcentral describes it as "tRNA-Glu". Lineage: Eukaryota; Metazoa; Arthropoda; Insecta; Hymenoptera; Apidae. The record is from RNAcentral.